GAAAUUCUUCAGGGCAGGGUGAAAUUCCCGAUCGGCAGUAAAGUCUGCGAGCGCUUUGGCGCAGGAUUCGGUGCGAUUCCGAAACCGACAGUAUAGUCUGGAUGGGAGAAGAAUAAA
Molecule: non-coding RNA, 117 nt
Organism: Firmicutes bacterium CAG:466
Lineage: Bacteria; Bacillati; Bacillota
Source: Rfam